RNAcentral lists this transfer RNA (71 nucleotides) under Loxodonta africana (African savanna elephant). It matches the Rfam family "tRNA". Rfam says of the family: Transfer RNA (tRNA) molecules are approximately 80 nucleotides in length. The record is from Rfam by way of RNAcentral. Lineage: Eukaryota; Metazoa; Chordata; Mammalia; Proboscidea; Elephantidae.
CCAUUGGUGGUGCAGUGGUAGAAUUCUCGCCUUCCAAGUGGGAGACUCAGGUUUGAUUCCUGGCCGAUGCA